Long non-coding RNA from Equus caballus (horse), 1653 nucleotides. The record is from Ensembl. NCBI's taxonomy places the organism in Eukaryota, Metazoa, Chordata, Mammalia, Perissodactyla, Equidae.
CGUAAUUGCUCUGUUUGGGCUUGUGUUUCAGUCACAAUGUAUUGUGGAUAUAUAGUGGAUCUAUAGCACUAUACUUGAGCAACCAGCACUGGGUGUAUAGUUAUGUCACAUGGCAAAGGACCAUGUGAAGUUCACUAUAGCUUUUGAUCAAUAUGAGUUUCCCAGAGUCAGAAACUACCUGAAAUAUACUAUCCCCUAUUCAUAUAUUCCUGGGUGAAUUUCCUAAGACUAGAAUCUUGUAUUUAAUAUCCUUCAUAAUGGAAAAUUUCAGUCUCUUCCUUGUUUCACAAAUUUGUACUGUUUCUGACAGAUACUGAUGCAGUCAUAGAAGAAAAUGGUCCCAUCCUCCAGGUUGCUCCUCACACAUAUCCAUUAGAAACACAUAAUAAAAGAGAGAGAUAGAUUUGCCUUCCAGCCUAAGGCUCCAUGGGCAAUUAUUUUCUUUCAACGCCUUCAUUGAAAUUCCUUGUGUAAUGCUACCAGAGUGAAUUAUAGUUGAACCUUUUAUCUGCACAUAUGGAGCUGAGCUAAAGAGAUGGUGCCAGUAAUAUUACUCAGCUAUUUUCACUUUGGGGACUAAGGCCGAUGUAAACCAUCAUAACUAGAGAGAAAAUAAUAUUCAAGGAUGAAUCACUGCCAGAUGUGUGAAUGUAUGUCUUCAGAUUUCAUUUUUCUGGAACAUGCUUACUGUAGUAUAUUCCUUAUCCCUUUUUUAAGUGAUUCUCUUUCUAUGGGGAAUGGAUUUAAUUGCAUUAAAUGUUCAGAAGAUCCAAAAAUUAAUAAAAUGUGUAUUUGGACUCCAUCUCACAAUCCAAGAAAGAAAUCAGAAAUUGUUCUAAAGUGAAUGCUAUGCAACAAUCUUCUGUAACCCAAGUCCCAGAGGAGCUGUGAGGGGGACCUCACUGGGCAUCGUCCCAUGCCUCACUUGCCUGGGGCAAACCAUUCAGAUUUAUGCCAAUGUAACGGAGACAGAGGGUAAAGUAAAACAGGACGUAAUAAUUGUUAGGAAAAAAAAUUGCAGUCUGAGUAAAAAUGGAGGGGUAUCUGAUAUGUGUGGUGUUGAGAUCCUGGAUCAUAACUCUUGUGUUAUAUACAGGCUGCUGGAUUGUUUGGUAUCCAAAUGAGGUCGCUGGAAGAUGAUCAUAUUUCUGCAGAUUGGUGUUCCUGAAAAUUCCUAAUCUAUAGCCUGAGGAAGUGCCGGAGGAGUAGAUGAAGACUAGUGAGCCGAGUUUAAGAACGCUCAAGAAGAAACCAAGACCAGAUCUCUUUAUGUCUUUAAUAUUUUCCAGCGGCGAUGGAAUCACAUGAAAAAGAAAUAGGUGUUACUAGUAAUUUUGUAUUAGUGGUGAUCAUAGAGUACUGAAGGAAAAAAAAUCCUGCACAAAAUAUUACUCUGUGAGUCAUGCAAAUUGGAUUUAUGUUGUAAGAGAGCAAAUAGUGCCCCAAAGAAUCUGUAAAUAGAAAAAAAAGAGUCUUGUUUUUGAAUUGACCAUUUCUAAAGCUGUUGUUUGACGCCCUAAUUCAUUCUCAGAGAUUGUUUUUGAGGCUUUCACAUAGUAGGCACUCAAUAAUUAUAUGUUGAAAGACUUCUGAUUGAAGACAGGAAUUGUAUCCAUUUUUAUAUGAAAAAAUCAGGUUUAACUUGAAUCUUAG